ACAAAGUCAAGAGCACAACUUUCACCAUUUGAUAAACUAACAAUAAAUCAAGAGCAUCUCAAUUUUGGAUUCAAUGACAAUAUACAUGUGCUGUGAAGAUGGAGGAAGCACAUAUAUGUGUGAUGCCCAAACAAAGAGCUUGAUAUUGUCGUCAUGUCAAUAUGUCCAAACAAAUGUUGUGCUUCUCUGGUGCAAUCAUGAUCCAAGAUAAACAGCAGCAACACUCAUUCAUUUUUCUCUCUUUAUAUGAAUAACCGACUCAACAUUCUAGAAUAGUGGUAUUCAGCCAGUAAAAUCAUGAUUUGUCCUUAGGAGGACUGCUAAAUUGAUUGGCACCAGCGGCAGCUCUUGACAGCACAUGAGAUCAGUCCGGCACUGAAGAUGAUCUCCAGAUGUCAAUACUUGUCUGGUCAACCCGCAAGACAUCAAGCACAACUGCAACCAAUAGAAAAUUAAAACAAACAGUACUAAUUAUGUACUCCCUCUGUACAAAAAUAUAAGAUGUUUUUAUUAGUCGGAAGUAGAUAUUAUCCAGGAUAUUGCUACUGGCUACAGGUUGCAUAGGUAAUAAAACAGUUGCACAUCAGGAUUAUUUGUUCCCUCCUACUUAUUAUGUUGCCAAAUAAAUUUCUUCUCAUGAUCGUUGCACACAAAAGGCUUUAUGUAGCUCUGUGUAACUGUGAAGCAAACAAUAAAAUCAGUAAAACCAACUUAUAUUACUAUAUCAUGUAUAAAGAUUAAAACUAUAAAUUCUCAGCUAGUCCCAAGUGUAAAAUCUUGCAUCAUAGUUACGGUGCUUAUUUGUGUGCAUCAAACAACACAGAUGGUAGGGGCAGCGCUGCAUCUAUCAAUAAAAGAACAGUAACAGAGCUAAUGCUAAACCUCCCGGAUGAAUCGGUAUAGGAAAUAUCAGACAUAACCAACAAACAGAGAGAGGCAACAUGAGGCCUUGAAGUUGAAGAAGAGUUUGUAGAUUUUCACUGAUAAAUAUAACGUUUACACAAACUUUAGUUUCCACCACGUUACAAUAGCUUGGUAAAUGAAAUUGCUCCACAACUAACAAUUUGCCGACAAAAAUAGAACUCAGGUCUCAUGGACCAUUUGGUAAUCACAUGAUUGGUAAACCAGAAAACUCAUUGCAAACAAACUCACAAAGAGGAUUGCCAUCAUGUACAGGAUGGAUGUUUGCACAUAUAUCAUUAUUUUUCAUAAAACAAGUAGUACGGCUGAAGUGGCUUUAGAUGUACCCAGUUUUAGUAAUCCUUUCAUCUUUAGUUGUACCAAAUUUAGAAAUCCUAUGUUGGUCCUGAAGUUUUGUAGUCACCUCCCUCACAAUCAAUAAGUUCAUCAAAAUCUUGCAUCCAAAAUGAAAGAUAUAAACUAUUAUAUUGCUUAUCAGAGAAGAUACAAUUUUUGUAUCAUUCAUUUCUGGUAAAAGUAUACAACUACAAAAUUUGCAAACAGGAGGAGGUGAGUAGAGCCGUGAGUAUCAUUUUGGUUUACAUAGAAGAUUAGUACAUGCUAAAAUUAGGAAAUUGCAAACUGGAGAAGAUUUAUCUAUACAUACACAGAAAAUUAGGAAAUGGCAUACAAUCAGGUUGUAUUAAUAAAACAUACACAUUCUGAAUCAUGGGAGUGUCAAAUACUCUAGUCUAAUAGUGUGGUAAGCUUGUACUGCUCUUAGGCAGUCUAGAGAAUGGUGUAUCCAAAAAAUUCUAUGCAUACCUUGACCAAGAAAUAAUUGAUGUACAAGCCAAAAAAGCACGAGCCACAACAGAAGAUAAUAGCUUUAGAAAAUUAGUCCAAAUAAGAUAGAGAUAAUGCAGUAUCGUCUCUCAGCCACAUUUUCUAACAGAAUCAACCACUUCAUCAAAGUUCAGUUUUUCCAACACACAAAAUCCAGUAUCUAGAAAUAAUUAACGUGAGAAGAUUAGCACCUAAUGAGUGUGUGUGUCAUACACAUAUUAACCAAUUGUAUAAAAGAAUCAAGACAAAGCAGAGGACAUAAAUAGUAGGCAUAAGCAUGGUUAUAUAUCAGUAUUACUUUGUCCAUCAGCACAGGUGUGAGAUGUCCUAUUAACAAAGCAACAUCAAGCAAAGGAGGUCCCUAGAUGUGCUUGCUCUACAAAAAAACCUAGCCCACCUUCCUGAAAUUGUAGGAGAAAAAUUAAAGUGAGCAUGUAUCAUCUAGCCAAAAAGUAAAACAAGUUUGUGAGUGGGCAUUCAGUUUUGUUUAGUAGACAAUCAACAGAUAUUGAGGAACUUGCAAGUUAGAAAAAUACUUAUACGGCAAUAUUAAAACAAUAGCAGGCAGCAAUCAUUGGUUGCCAAUAAUCAAGAAUUCAUGAUCCAAUGCUAGUGGGGACUCACAUAAUUACAUUCUUAUUUUAGGUGAUAGUAUCUAGGACAAACCAGCACCUUGCGAGCCAACGUGCCUUUGUCCUUCAUCUCUUGAUGACGUGCUCUGCUUAGCACACAAGCAGAAGUCGACACACAAACACAUCAGUAGUAGUUCGUAAAAUUACAGAACAACAUUAGACAAAUAUUCCGAAGCUGGUUCUUGAAAUUUUUGGAAGCUUGGGGCCACAAGAAGCUCUCUGCAAACAUUAAGUGAUGGCAGUUUGAUUUCUUCCCUCCUAAACUGAAACUGUAAUAAUCAAAAGCCAACACAAUAUGUUCCCCACUUCUGCUCAAACCAACAACCAAAGAUGCAUUGUAUGAGCGCUAUUCUGAAACAUUACUAAUAUGGGGGAGGCAAGGUAUAUAGGCUAGUAUGGCUGGUUGUCCACCACUGAGCAACUGAAUCCGAUGCUACAUCUCUUAGAACAACACGCCCUCGACCAGAAAUACGGCGCCACCCACUCGCGCCCUCCGGCACCAAGCAUGAGAUGUCUGAGCGGUGAAUCAACACCAGCGUCGAGCCCGGGGUGCCACCGGAGUUCACCACAUUACAGGCAGCCCCUCGACCAGCUGUCUCCACUCGCCACGCGCCAUUCCAAUGGAAGAACUGAGAAGGGAAGGAUCUAGGAGAGAGAGGGGACCGUUACCUGAUUCCUCGCCGUCGAGGAUGCGUUAGUCCGGCACCGUCAUUCCAAAGUGGGAAUUUGAUUCCCCACCGCCGUUGAGGAUGCUUCGUCCACUGAUGUCGUUCCAGAGAGAGGAGGCGCCGUUCCAGAGCACUCAAGCCCCCAAUCCUCCACCCACCCACAUCUUCCUCCACGCUGGGAGGCAACGUCCUUCCCAAGCUCGACCGCCACAGCGGUGAAACCCCUUUUCCAUGAUCCAUGCUAUGCCCACACAAC
Molecule: long non-coding RNA, 3302 nt
Filed under: Triticum aestivum (bread wheat)
Lineage: Eukaryota; Viridiplantae; Streptophyta; Magnoliopsida; Poales; Poaceae
Description: long non-coding RNA (TAES_LNC012439)
Source: RNAcentral